Long non-coding RNA from Diprion similis, 72 nucleotides. RefSeq lists it as uncharacterized. The transcript has 3 exons. Lineage: Eukaryota; Metazoa; Arthropoda; Insecta; Hymenoptera; Diprionidae. The record is from RefSeq and is a predicted model, not a curated record.
UCUCGAUACCUCGACGUUUCAACUUCUAGAGAAUCACCUCCGACCAUUUUCAGAUGGACGAUUGUGUUUAUG